GAGGGUCGCAGGACCUCCUUCUGUUCUUAACCAAACCCGCGUACCUGGCCGGAUAAUCUGCCUCUGCCUCGGCGGCGGCCCCAGGGGGGGCCUCUGCCCGACCGCCGCUAACCCCGGCGGGCGGGUGCCGCCGGCGGCGCCUUAACCACCUAAGCUUUUGCUAAAACAGAAAAAACAAAACCUAUUA
This 187-nucleotide unclassified non-coding RNA is filed under the name uncultured Sordariomycetes. Its description in RNAcentral is "sequence contains ITS1". The record is from RNAcentral. Lineage: Eukaryota; Fungi; Ascomycota; Sordariomycetes.